UCUAAAGAAGAAAUGGGGGUUCUUUCUCUGCCUUGCAUUGCGUGUGUCGCGUCUAGGUCACAAGGCACGGCCCUUGCGCCUCACAAUCGCGUGGCGGGAUGCAGGAAAGAGAGGCGUGGCGCGCUCACUGUCGUCGCUUCGUCUCCGGGAAGUGAUGGACACUCGGCUCGUCGCGAAAUUUCAGCUCGGGAGGGAUAUUUCAGGCUUUUCUCCAAUGUCAACGAAGCUACGUUGAAGCACGAGCCAGGGAGCCUAGUGAGUGCCAUUUUUCUCGUUGCGGGGACAACAAUUGGAGCUGGAGUUUUGGCUAUUCCUGCCGUAACAGAGGAGUCUGGGUUCGCAGCAUCAUCUCUAACUUGCAGCAUUUGCUGGCUAUACAUGGUUGCUACGGGAUUGCUAGUAGCAGAAGUUAACGUGAGCACUAUGUGUGAACUUGGCUCCGGUGGCGUAUCGAUUGUUUCCAUGGCUGAGAGAACUUUAGGAGCGAUUGGAGUUCGGUUUGCCAGCUUGGCAUACCUUUUCAUUCACUAUGCUUUGCUGGUGGCUUAUGUGGCUCGAUCUGCUGAUAUCAUAUCAAACGCCAGUGGUGCUCCUCUAUGGGCUAGUGCGCUACUCUUCACUGGAAUAUUUGGCGGGCUAUGCUACAGUGGGAGCCAGCGUAUAAUCGGGGCGUUUAAUGGAGCUUUGGUACUUGGAAUAAUUGCAAGUUUUAUCUCCCUUGUGGCUGUUUCAACAGGAUAUAUAGAGCCUGAAUUACUCCUGCGAGCCAAUUUUGCUGCAGUGCCUAGAAGCGUUCCUGUGAUUGCAUUGGCAUUUGUCUACCAGAAUGUAGUUCCUGUUAUUUGUACCAAUCUUGAAGGGGACCUCAAAAAGAUAAGGACCGCCAUUGUGGCCGGGACUGCCAUUCCCUUGGCAAUGUUUAUUGUAUGGGAUGCCGUUAUUCUUGGCAGCGUAUACCCGGGAGCCGGAAACUCAUCUCUUUCAGAUCCAUUGAUGCAAUUGCGAUCACAAAGCGGCAUCAUAAGCCCUCUGGUGGAAGUAUUCUCGCUGCUGGCCAUCACGACGUCUUAUAUCGGUUUUGUGCUUGGUCUGUCGGACUUUGUCGCCGAUUUGCUCAAGCUCCCGGGUGGCGGAUCCAGAAAACCUUUACCAUAUGCCGUGACUCUGCUUCCUCCAGCAGCACUCGCGUUACUAUCUCCGGACAUAUUUUUCAAAGCUUUGGAUUUUGCUGGUGCCUACGGCGUGCUAGUCUUGUUUGGUAUUUUGCCGGCAUCUAUGGCCUGGUCACAAAGAUACUCGACAUCUUCUUUACCUGCUGUUCCUCCUAUGGUUCCUGGAGGUCGUUUGGCACUGGGUGUGAUGAUAACAGGAGCUGGCUUCAUCAUUACUACACAGUUUUUGAGCACAUUCUCGUGAGCAAAAUGCUUUAUGAUCGAUCAAAGUAUCAGCUUUCCAAGCUCUAUCAGAUUACUUUACGAUAAGUCUAUCUUGAGAGGUCUUCUUCCUUGCACUGCUGGGAUGGAGCGCACUCGUUCAUGUCCCGGAAGCGAUGGAGGGGCUCUCCAAAUCCUAUCGUAAUUUUUCAGUUCGCCAAGCUACAUUCCCGGUUUGUGGACAAUUUUGUAGAAAACUUUCGGAUUUUCUGUAUGGCUGUUGUUUAGUUUAGCCACAGGAAUGGUGCGGAAGGUAUUACUACUGUGGAGCUGGAAGUAUGCGGACUGUCAGCUUGGCAUACCUUUCACAGUCAGGGGGUAUUUGAUGGAACUUGGAAAUAGCUAAAAGUUCUAUCGCUCUUGUGCAGGAUUUGUCACUCUUGCGAAGCCAAUUGUGCUGCUGCGUCCCUGCGAUUGCAUUCUACCAGUGCUCUCAAGCAAAAGCUUUCUCAUAUCCCGUGACACUCAAGAGCACUCUCUAGAUUUAUUUUUUUGGGAGCACUGCUUGUUAGUAAUUUUGCCUGGGGCCUCUUUGAAUUGCUAAACAACGACCAAAAUUUGUUGUGGGCUUGGAAGUAUCAGAUCUUCAUCAAAGCCGAGUUCUCUCAAAUCAAGAGCUUAUUCAAAAAUGUCUCAAUGUCAGUAGGCUGGAUUUUCCUAUUGCUGUUAUUCUGCAUAAAAGCUCGAAAGCUAUUCUCUGUCACUGCCGAGUCUAUAGACGUGACCGACAAUCCUAAGCUCCACAGGUAGUUGAGCAGCUGAAGCAUAACGUCCUGACGCUGUGGUCUUCUUCUAUAUAUCCGGAUGGCAAAAGUUCCUUCAACGUCGAGAGCAUUCACAGACAACUCAUCUCGAUCGUCACUGGUUGUAUUGCCUGUGAUCUAUUGCUCCUUGCAGCACAGAUAACUUAUCCUGCGAGCAAAGAAUUUCGGGCCAGGGAUGUCCAGCGAUGCCUCGGAAGGAGAUUGUGAGAAAAUGGAUGACGUCGAGGUUGAGGGAUGUUCCGUGGAUACUGGCAAUGCAACAGGAGCAGCAUACAGGAAUGUUCUUAUAGUCUGGAGCAAGGAGUCGGUCUCAAGAAUCUACAAGUUUCCGUGGAACCAAUUUCCAGGACGCCAUCCAGCAGCGGGAUGCACAGGAGGCUCUGGAUGAUUGUGGCCUAAAAUGCAGGAAAUCUCUUUGCUCGAGCACUGAGGUGUUCGUGACAUUCACGCCUGUGACCCAUACGUGCUCGCGUCUGAUCGCUGCUAUACCGGCAUGCCUGAAAGGACUUGUAAGCUGUGUAGAACAGCGCUUGCUGGAAACUGCAAAUCAAAGGAACGCCUUCAUCUCCGCAAGCGACUGCCAAACAAACAGAAUAGCGAAUGAUUUUUUAUAAGAUACUGUAGAAACUGACUAGCAACUCGAGGAACCUUUCCUGUUCAUACGAAAUGGUCGCGACCAUUCGUCACAGGAGCUCGAAGACCUGACUUGUUGGAUGGACACCUGAGACAAACAAGAAAACGAACCAGAGGCGAUGAACCAUUCUUGAGUUUCAUCCCUUGUGCC
This is an RNA transcript of Selaginella moellendorffii, 2981 nucleotides long. It is a transcript of the gene named tyrosine-specific transport protein, with no coding region annotated. The record is from RefSeq and is a predicted model, not a curated record. The transcript is spliced from 25 exons. Lineage: Eukaryota; Viridiplantae; Streptophyta; Lycopodiopsida; Selaginellales; Selaginellaceae.